CGGUAACGCGGGGCAACCUGGCGACGAGUGGCGAACGGGUGAGUAAUGUAUCGGAACGUGCCCAGUUGUGGGGGAUAACUGCUCGAAAGAGCAGCUAAUACCGCAUACGACCUGAGGGUGAAAGCGGGGGAUCGCAAGACCUCGCGCAAUUGGAGCGGCCGAUAUCAGAUUAGGUAGUUGGUGGGGUAAAGGCCCACCAAGCCAACGAUCUGUAGCUGGUCUGAGAGGACGACCAGCCACACUGGGACUGAGACACGGCCCAGACUCCUACGGGAGGCAGCAGUGGGGAAUUUUGGACAAUGGGCGCAAGCCUGAUCCAGCCAUGCCGCGUGCGGGAAGAAGGCCUUCGGGUUGUAAACCGCUUUUGUCAGGGAAGAAACGAGUUUCUCUAAUACAGAGACUUAAUGACGGUACCUGAAGAAUAAGCACCGGCUAACUACGUGCCAGCAGCCGCGGUAAUACGUAGGGUGCAAGCGUUAAUCGGAAUUACUGGGCGUAAAGCGUGCGCAGGCGGUUAUGCAAGACAGAGGUGAAAUCCCCGGGCUCAACCUGGGAACUGCCUUUGUGACUGCAUAGCUAGAGUACGGUAGAGGGGGAUGGAAUUCCGCGUGUAGCAGUGAAAUGCGUAGAUAUGCGGAGGAACACCGAUGGCGAAGGCAAUCCNUNGACCUGUACUGACGCUCAUGCACGAAAGCGUGGGGAGCAAACAGGAUUAGAUACCCUGNAGUCCACGCCCUAAACGAUGUCAACUGGUUGUUGGGAGGGUUUCUUCUCAGUAACGUAGCUAACGCGUGAAGUUGACCGCCUGGGG
Molecule: ribosomal RNA, 811 nt
Filed under: uncultured bacterium
Lineage: Bacteria
Description: bacterial SSU rRNA
Rfam family: Bacterial small subunit ribosomal RNA
Source: RNAcentral